This 440-nucleotide ribosomal RNA is filed under the name uncultured bacterium. Its description in RNAcentral is "partial 16S ribosomal RNA". It matches the Rfam family "Bacterial small subunit ribosomal RNA", at positions 338 to 795 of the family's 1533-position model. The record is from RNAcentral.
CCUACGGGGAGCAGCAGUGGGGAAUAUUGCACAAUGGGGGAAACCCUGAUGCAGCGACGCCGCGUGAGUGAAGAAGUAUUUCGGUACGUAAAGCUCUAUCAGCAGGGAAGAAAAUGACGGUACCUGACUAAGAAGCCCCGGCUAACUACGUGCCAGCAGCCGCGGUAAUACGUAGGGGGCAAGCGUUAUCCGGAUUUACUGGGUGUAAAGGGAGCGUAGACGGCAGCGCAAGUCUGGAGUGAAAUCCCAGGGCUUAACCAUGGAACUGCUUUGGAAACUGUGCAGCUGGAGUGCAGGAGAGGUAAGCGGAAUUCCUAGUGUAGCGGUGAAAUGUGUAGAUAUUAGGAGGAACACCAGUGGCGAAGGCGGCUUACUGGACUGUAACUGACGUUGAGGCUCGAAAGCGUGGGGAGCAAACAGGAUUAGAUACCCCGGUAGUC